RNAcentral lists this ribosomal RNA (328 nucleotides) under uncultured Glomeromycotina. RNAcentral describes it as "eukaryotic LSU rRNA". The record is from RNAcentral. Lineage: Eukaryota; Fungi; Glomeromycota.
UAUCAGCCUACGAUUUGUCAACAAGUAGUGUGGUGAGCCUCAAAACCGCUACAUUAUUUGUUUGGCUAAUCGUCGGUGCACUUUCGUGUCGGCUGGUUAACAUCAAUUUCAAAUGUCAUAAAAAGGCUAGAGGGAUGUGGCUCCUUCGGGAGUGUUUAUAACCUUUAGCGGAAUGUGGUGUUUGGGAUUGAGGAUUGCAACGAAUACCUUUAGGGCUGUUCCACCUGGUCUCUCUUUGGCAUCUUGGCGGCGACAGCUUGCUGACGUUGUUAAGAGUUGACAUUGAACAGGCUAGAGUGUGGGCAAAUUCGUUAAGGAUGUUAACGUA